RNAcentral lists this ribosomal RNA (253 nucleotides) under uncultured bacterium. Its description in RNAcentral is "partial 16S ribosomal RNA". It matches the Rfam family "Bacterial small subunit ribosomal RNA", at positions 524 to 776 of the family's 1533-position model. The record is from RNAcentral.
UACGUAGGGGGCAAGCGUUGUCCGGAUUUAUUGGGCGUAAAGAGCGUGUAGGCGGCCAUACAGGUCAGCUGUGAAAACUCGAGGCUCAACCUCGAGACGUCGGUUGAAACCGUAUGGCUAGAGUCCGGAAGAGGAGAGUGGAAUUCCCGGUGUAGCGGUGAAAUGCGUAGAGAUCGGAAGGAACACCAGUGGCGAAGGCGACUGUCUGGCCAGAUACUGACGCUGAGGCGCGAAAGCGUGGGGAGCAAACAGG